RNAcentral lists this ribosomal RNA (937 nucleotides) under Microbacterium sp. RNAcentral's name for it is "bacterial SSU rRNA". It matches the Rfam family "Bacterial small subunit ribosomal RNA", at positions 56 to 1002 of the family's 1533-position model. Lineage: Bacteria; Bacillati; Actinomycetota; Actinomycetes; Micrococcales; Microbacteriaceae. The record is from RNAcentral.
UGCCAGUCGAACGGUGAAGCCAAGCUUGCUUGGUGGAUCAGUGGCGAACGGGUGAGUAACACGUGAGCAACCUGCCCUGGACUCUGGGAUAAGCGCUGGAAACGGCGUCUAAUACUGGAUAUGAGCUCUCAUCGCAUGGUGGGGGUUGGAAAGAUUUUUCGGUUUGGGAUGGGCUCGCGGCCUAUCAGCUUGUUGGUGAGGUAAUGGCUCACCAAGGCGUCGACGGGUAGCCGGCCUGAGAGGGUGACCGGCCACACUGGGACUGAGACACGGCCCAGACUCCUACGGGAGGCAGCAGUGGGGAAUAUUGCACAAUGGGCGCAAGCCUGAUGCAGCAACGCCGCGUGAGGGAUGACGGCCUUCGGGUUGUAAACCUCUUUUGGUAGGGAAGAAGCCUUCGGGUGACGGUACCUGCAGAAAAAGCGCCGGCUAACUACGUGCCAGCAGCCGCGGUAAUACGUAGGGCGCAAGCGUUAUCCGGAAUUAUUGGGCGUAAAGAGCUCGUAGGCGGUCUGUCGCGUCUGCUGUGAAAUUCCGAGGCUCAACCUCGGGCUUGCAGUGGGUACGGGCAGACUAGAGUGCGGUAGGGGAGAUUGGAAUUCCUGGUGUAGCGGUGGAAUGCGCAGAUAUCAGGAGGAACACCGAUGGCGAAGGCAGAUCUCUGGGCCGUUACUGACGCUGAGGAGCGAAAGGGUGGGGAGCAAACAGGCUUAGAUACCCUGGUAGUCCACCCCGUAAACGUUGGGAACUAGUUGUGGGGUCCUUUCCACGGAUUCCGUGACGUAGCUAACGCAUUAAGUUCCCCGCCUGGGGAGUACGGCCGCAAGGCUAAAACUCAAAGGAAUUGACGGGGACCCGCACAAGCGGCGGAGCAUGCGGAUUAAUUCGAUGCAACGCGAAGAACCUUACCAAGGCUUGACAUACGCCAGAACGGGCC